CUACAGACCGCUCUGCCGCCUUUGCUUUUUGACCUUCUCUUAAGUGUGUAUUCUGUUUUAGGUCUGAUAUACAUCUUUAUCAGAUCAUUUUUUCCCCAGAAUCCCACCACAUUCGAGGAACCGUCGGAAGCGGGGAGGAAAGUCCGGACAACACAGAGCGCCGCACCGCCUAACGGGCGGAGUUUUUCUCCCGGCUUCGGAAGAAAAACAUAGAAAGUGUCACAGAAAAUUACCGCCACGCCUUUCGGGCGCGGUAAGGGUGAAAACGUGCGGUAAGAGCGCACGAUGCUGCCGGGCAACCGGCAGUAGGGAUAAACCUUGCGGGUUGAAAUGCCACGUACACCCUGUUUAUGUGUGGCUCGCACAUUGACCCUGAGCAAUCAGGGCUGCGGGGGGGGUAGGCAGCGCAAAUUCUCCUGAGUAAUCGGGAGAAUCAGAUAAAUGGCGGAGAUUCCGGGCAACCGGGAUACAGAAUCCGGCUUACAGGUCUGUAGUUUU
This 498-nucleotide RNase P RNA is filed under the name Bacteroidota bacterium. Its description in RNAcentral is "Bacteroidetes bacterium (sediment metagenome) RNase P RNA component class A". It matches the Rfam family "Bacterial RNase P class A". Rfam says of the family: Ribonuclease P (RNase P) is a ubiquitous endoribonuclease, found in archaea, bacteria and eukarya as well as chloroplasts and mitochondria. The record is from RNAcentral. Lineage: Bacteria; Pseudomonadati; Bacteroidota.